GAACAACUUUGCUGUUUAUGGCGUCGUUAUUCGACGUCAUAAACACGAUCAACUUUGGUGUUUAUGACGUCGAAUAUCGACGUCAUAACCACGAUCA
This is a non-coding RNA of Paramuricea clavata, 97 nucleotides long. NCBI's taxonomy places the organism in Eukaryota, Metazoa, Cnidaria, Anthozoa, Malacalcyonacea, Plexauridae. The record is from the annotation of a GenBank genome assembly.